This 1093-nucleotide long non-coding RNA is filed under the name Daphnia pulicaria. RNAcentral describes it as "uncharacterized LOC124342502, transcript variant X2". The record is from RNAcentral. Lineage: Eukaryota; Metazoa; Arthropoda; Branchiopoda; Diplostraca; Daphniidae.
UCGAGAUUUCUAGCUGGAUCCUCCAUUCAUUUUUUUUAAAUUUUCAUUUUCAUUCUUUCAAAAUUUGACAGAAAACUGCGUUUGUUCGCGAAGACUUGGAUUCCCUUAACCUAUAUUCAAUCACGACCACUAGAUGCCACGAUAUGUUUUGUUUUUUUUAUUUUUUAUACCAGCCGAUAGAGGGUUGAGGUUGAGGCAGGGAAACUCGCCAAGUAAAGCAGAGUCCAUUUCUUUCCAAUAUGCCCAGCUGAGAGGGUAUCUGAGAAGGUCGUGGUCGAGGUCGUGGUUAAAUUAAAUUUAUUUUUGAUUUACAGAUCAAUAGAAAAAAAGAGAAGGAAACAGAAAGAGACACAGCAGUUUUUGACAAACAGAAAGAGACACAGCAAUUUUUGACAUUUCUUCGACUUUUAACUUUUUUUCGACUUUUCUCCUUUUCUUUCGGCAUUCAAAUUUUGCUCCAUUGCCAUUAUAAUCCUCAUCCUCGCUGAUGCUACAAUCGGAGAAAGCGUUCGAAAGAUCGCUAUCUUCGUCCGAGGUGUUGUUGUUCUUCGCCUCCAAUGCCAACUUGGCCUUUUUGGCUUUCUUCUUUCGAAGACUCUUCUUUCGUUUGUGUUCCCGUUCAACUGUGUUUUUUUUUGUACAAAUUUUAAUUUGUUAACCGUACAAUGAAAGACAGACACAGUUUAAUUUUUUACAAGUGUUUUUAUUAUCGACAAAACACAGGAAUUGAUACAAUUUUUAAGACUCAAUGAGUCAUCGGCUCCGAAACCAGAUCGAGUUUCUUAGCCGCCUCUUCGAGCGUUUCGACCGCCUUGUCUUGCUUAAUCGAACUCAUGGCCAGAUUUUUCAGGAACUCUUCUUCCUCUUCCGCCGUGAGUAUGAGCUCUGGCUCUGACUCGGAUUCUCGACACAGCAUCUACUCGUCAUCCUCGUCGAGGCUACAAUCCGAGAAAGCGAUCAAAAGGUCGCUGUCCUCGUCCGAGGUGUUGUUGUUCGCCUCCAAAGCCAACUUGGCCUUUUUGGCUUUCUUGCUAAUGCACCUAUUAGUACUUCUACAUCAGGUUAUCACUAAAGACGAAAUGAUGUAAACGAA